AAUAAAGGCUUAUCACCCAAGUUUUAAAAAAAAAAUAAAUUUUUUUAAUUCAUCUAUUAACGACGAAUUUAAAUUGCAUUGCGGGUGGACUUUAAAAACUUCGGUCCUACUACAAAGUAUAAAAUUUUUCGACUAGUGAACCUCGCGCUCACUUCUAUGGUUAGUUCGCGGCUUUCGUCAAUGUGAGUACUAGGCUUAAAGUAGCAUAAGUACCUAUAACCAAGUACUCACAUCGAAGAAAACCGCGAGCUUACAAUAGGAGUGAACGAGAGGCAAAUUCGCGGCUAAAGCUUUUCGUCGGGUCUGCUUUUCAGCUCGGUACUUAGAUGAGCAGUGUGGACUUAAAAAAAUAAAAAUGGAAGGAAGACUCCAAAAACGCCUGCAGCAGGUCAGUGCAGAUGAAAAAGGACGCCUAAUCCAAGCUGAAGCAAGAUUACAACAGGGCAAGUCCGUGGAAUAGUUGAAGUGCUGGAUAAGAUCCACUAGAGAAUACCACUGGUAAAGAACAUGCCGAGUGGGACCUCGCUCCCAUCGACACCCUGCCAAGCGUCUCCUCACAAAUAAACAGAACCACCAGAACAGUCUCCGACGAGCUCUCCAUUGGCGAACCACAGUAAUCAAUCUCCACCAGGUACUUGGCUGCUAAAUCGGAGAUGGAGGAUUCACUGGCCUCCAUAGGGAGAAGGAACUGGGUUGCAGAUGGCGAAGUAUCCGUGAGACGAGAAGGAAGCUUAAAACAACUAAUUUUUAUAAAUAAAAC
This is a non-coding RNA of Drosophila suzukii, 760 nucleotides long. Lineage: Eukaryota; Metazoa; Arthropoda; Insecta; Diptera; Drosophilidae. The record is from RefSeq and is a predicted model, not a curated record.